GCUUUCGUGGUGUAACGAUUAACACACUCGGCGCGUAUCGAGAGGUACAGGUUCGAAUCCCGGUGAGGGCA
This 71-nucleotide transfer RNA is filed under the name Stegodyphus mimosarum. It matches the Rfam family "tRNA". Rfam says of the family: Transfer RNA (tRNA) molecules are approximately 80 nucleotides in length. Lineage: Eukaryota; Metazoa; Arthropoda; Arachnida; Araneae; Eresidae. The record is from Rfam by way of RNAcentral.